Molecule: long non-coding RNA, 2014 nt
Filed under: Phasianus colchicus (ring-necked pheasant)
Lineage: Eukaryota; Metazoa; Chordata; Aves; Galliformes; Phasianidae
Description: lncRNA (ENSPCLG00000013932.1)
Source: RNAcentral
UGUGUCAACUCAGUGUCACCAAAAGUGUCACCUCUGUGUCACCACUGCUGUCACCUCAGUGUCACCGUUGGUGUCACCUCAGUGUCACCUUCAUGUCACCAUCGGUGUCACCUUCAUGUCCCCCUCAGUGUCACAUCUGUGUCACCAUCAGUGUCACCUUUGUGUUACCAACAAUGUCACCAUCAGUGUCACCUCUGUGUCACCUUCAUGUCACCAUUGGUGUCACCUCAGUGUCACCUCUGUGUCACCAACAAAGUCACCAACAGUGUCACCCCUGUGUCACCAUCAGUGUCACCAUCGGUGUCACCUUCAUGUCACCAUUGGUGUCACCUCUGUGCCACCUUCAGUGUCACCUUUGUGUCACCUCCAUGUCACCCUCAGUGCCACCAUUGGUGUCACCUCAGUGUCACCUCUGUGUCACCAACAGUGUCAGCUCUGUGUCACCACUGCUGUCACCUCACUGUCACCGUUGGUGUCACCUCUGUGUCACCUCCAUGUCACCCUCAGUGCCACCAUUGGUGUCACCUCUGUGUCACCAACAGUGUCACCUCAGUGUCACCUCAGUGUCCCCUUCAUGUCACNNNNNNNNNNNNNNNNNNNNNNNNNNNNNNNNNNNNNNNNNNNNNNNNNNNNNNNNNNNNNNNNNNNNNNNNNNNNNNNNNNNNNNNNNNNNNNNNNNNNCCUCUGUGUCACCUCCAUGUCACCCUCAGUGUCACCCUCAGUGUCACUUCUGUGUCACGUCUGUGUCACCACUGCUGUCACCUCAGUGCCACCAUUGGUGUCACCUCUGUGUCACUUCUGUGUGACCAUCAGUGUCACCUCUCUGUCACCUCUGUGUCACCUCUGUGCCACCUCCAUGUCACCCUCAGUGUCACCUUUGUGUCACCUCCAUGUCACCCUCAGUGCCACCAUUGGUGUCACCUCUGUGUCACCUCCAUGUCACCCUCAGUGUCACCAUCAGUGUCACCUUUGUGUCACCUCCAUGUCACACUCAGUGUCACUUCAGUGUCACCUCAGUGUCACCAUCAGUGUCACCUUCAUGUCGCCCUCAGUGUCACCAACAGUGUCACCUCUGUGUCACCUUCAUGUCACCAUUGGUGUCACCUCCAUGUCACCUCUGUGUCACCAUCAGUGUCACCUUCAUGUCACCCUCAGUGUCACCUCAGUGUCACCAACAGUGUCACCUCUGUGUCACCACUGCUGUCACCUCAGUGUCACCGUUGGUGUCACCUCCGUGUCACCUCUGUGUCACCAUCAAUGUCACCUUCAUGUCGCCCUCAGUGUCACUUCUGUGUCACGUCUGUGUCACCAACAGUGUCACCUCUGUGUCACCAACGGUGUCACCAACGGUGUCACCUGGGGGCGUCGGGUCACCGAGAGUGUCAGCUCUGUGUCACCACUGCUGUCACCUUUGUGUCACCCUCAGUGUCACCAACAGUGUCACCUCUGUGCCACCUUCAUGCUACCAUCGGUGUCACCUUCAUGUCACCCUCAGUGUCACCUCUGUGUCACCUUCAUGUCACCAUUGGUGUCACCUCUGUGCCACCCAGUGUCACCUCUGUGUCUCAUCUGUGUCACCAUCAAUGUCACCUCAGUGUCACCCUCAGUGUCACUUCUGUGUCACCAUCAGUAUCACCUCAGUGUCACCUCUGUGUCACUUCCAUGUCACGCUCAGUGUCAUUGUGUCACCAACAAUGUCACCUUCAUGUCACCCUCAGUGUCACCUCUGUGUCACCUUCAUGUCACCCUCGGUGUCACCUCCAUGUCACCCUCAGUGUCACCUCUGUGUCACCUUCAUGUCACCCUCGGUAUCACCUCCAUGUCACCCUCAGUGUCACUUCUGUGUCACGUCUGUGUCACCAACAGUGUCAGCUCGGUGUCACCAUUGGUGUCACCUCCAUGUCACCUCUGUGUCACCAACGGUGUCACCUGGGGGCGUCAGGUCACCGAGAGAGUCAGCUCUGUGUCACCACUGGUGUCACCUUUGUGUCACCAUUGGUGUCACCAUCAGUGU